This 683-nucleotide long non-coding RNA is filed under the name Nicotiana tabacum (common tobacco). RNAcentral describes it as "long non-coding RNA (NTAB_LNC001187)". Lineage: Eukaryota; Viridiplantae; Streptophyta; Magnoliopsida; Solanales; Solanaceae. The record is from RNAcentral.
UUUUUAGAAGAAUGUAGCGACACGAAUAAGAUAACAAGUAAAAACUCAGUAGGAUCAAAGUGUUUAACUUUCUGAUUGCAGCAGUGUGCAGACUUUAGUAGAGAAUUCAAGUUGGCUCCUUUUCAUGACAUGUCUUUCUCUACUACUCAUUCUCUCGUUACAAAAACUGUAUGCCAAACACAUAUAGGGUUACAAUUAACAGCUUCUACACAUUGGCUGGUCUAUGCUCCUAAGACAAUCCCAGUUUCUAAAGUUUUGAAAGUCUCUUGUAAAAAAUUAAAAAAUAAAAAGAAUACACUAGCGUUUCAGCUGCAACUUUUUUGUUCUACACGUCUAUUUGCAGUUUUUAUGACACUCCGCAGUUAAAAAACCUACUAAAUCCAUAUGUUAGGAACCUCAAGAAAAAAUUUCAUCCAUGCCUCUCUACGAUAUAAUGUAUGUAAUAAUGUUUAGCGCCUUCUUGUCUAGCAACUUCAAUUGGAAAAACUCCUUCUCUGAGAAUCCUACUUGAAACAGAAAAAAUGAUUUGACAGUUAAAAUAUGCAGAAAUCGAGUUCAAACUGACAAUGACAAGAAUUUCGCAUAGGAAUACUCACUUCCAGCAAAUAAUAUGACACAAAGGCUUAAAUUCUUCAAUCAGCGUCACCUAGUCCAUCCUUACCAUCACCUCUCUUAGAUAUAGG